AUGCUUUUCGAGUCUGACACCAACUCUGACCAAAGGCUGAGGCACAAUGACAGUCUCUCUCUGCUGCCUCUUCACAGAAUCAUCUCCACAACAGGCAGCCCACACUCAGCUCAAACAUCUCCUCCUACAAAGAGCCAUUUAAUGAAUUCACAGGAGCAACCUCCAGUAAUUUACAGGUUUGACCUUUCCUCUGCAUGUUCCAGUAGCUGAAAAGAUGGAGCCACCUACACCUUCAACACACCGUUCAACACAAUAAUGCACCGAAAAUCAGUAAAGAGAAGAGGCCUUUUUUUAUGCAACAACAACAGAGCUGUAGGUCCUGGGGGCAGUGACUGUGUGGGUCAUUUACCCAAUCAGACCGGCUAUUUUGGUUCAUGUCCAGCAGCAAGAGUGCAGAAGGGUUUGAUGAAGGCAGAAUACCAAGUCAGAGCCGAGCAGUGUGAGGUGUGAGUGAUUCUGUGGUAGCGCUGCUGCUUUCAGAAUAUUACCCCUGGCCACAUCUCAUAUCUCAACCUCCAGCUCUUUAGUCAAUGGCAGCAACAUCUGUGAUCCUGUUAUCUCGACCUACCAUCUCGUCAUUUCCCGUCACUGCAAACUUUUCCAUGCCUACACUGUUGUUUAGGUUCUGCGGUGGCAUUUUCAGCCACAAAUGGCCAGUCUGGUGCUGACGGAUACGCAGGAAGCCGAGCCGAACAGACACUGCACUGCACUGAUGUCCUGUCAAUAAUAUCCAGUUUAGUUGUCCGAGCUGCUGCCACUGUCCCCUCCUGGGCUGCUUUUUCAAACGUUUAGAUAAAAUAACAUAUUUACUGAUGAAGCAAACGAAGGAUGCCCUGAAAUGGAACAGGUGUUACGGUGUAAUCAGUCUAGAAAUGCAGACUUUGGAAAUUCUCAUCCCUUAAGUGGGAGCAGCUAUUGUUUAAGUGAACAUAAUUUCCAUCGAAUGCAACCGAGACUUCUGUGUAAUGUCUGCAAACACUCCCUGAGACUGUGAGCCGAACGUCCACCAGGUUCUGUGGCCAAAUUACUCCCCUGAUCUCUGGACAUGCUGUUAACAUCAAGGCAGCACAAUAAAUACAUUAAACAAACGAAGAGCUAUUCUGAUGACUGCUGAUACCAAUAUCACGUGAUGCUAUAAUUUUGCUCUUAAAGGGAAACCAAUAUAUGGUAUAUAUACUGAAUAUUUUGGAGAAAUGGAAAGUGUAUGUUAAAUUUAAAUGAAAUGUAAAACUGUGUCCACAGUUACUGAAAUGAUUGCGUCAUGUUUUGGUCCAUGGUGGUGCAGCUGUGCUAGUUUCUAGCGGAUGAUUGGUGUUUCCACUUUUUGUAAGUGCUCUUGAAGACAUUUGUCACCGAGAGAUUUCCAUCAGGAUACAGUAUGAUGUAAAAGAACAAACUUUGAUGUCAGACUUACAGAAACACCCCCCUCAAUCUAAAGCUGCGCCGUGAUUUCACUCUUCCCUUUUCUUUGGCAAUUAGAGCACUUCAUGUUUUCAUCAUGAAGCUGUCU
Long non-coding RNA from Acanthopagrus latus (yellowfin seabream), 1510 nucleotides. RefSeq lists it as uncharacterized. The transcript has 5 exons. The record is from RefSeq and is a predicted model, not a curated record. NCBI's taxonomy places the organism in Eukaryota, Metazoa, Chordata, Actinopteri, Spariformes, Sparidae.